UAGUUCUGAGUUGGCAUAGAGUAGUACUAUGUAAAAUUUUUCUCCAUAGUACGACCCAUGCCGGCCCAGUGAAA
Non-coding RNA from Tribolium castaneum (red flour beetle), 74 nucleotides. The record is from RefSeq and is marked provisional. Lineage: Eukaryota; Metazoa; Arthropoda; Insecta; Coleoptera; Tenebrionidae.